Molecule: long non-coding RNA, 322 nt
Organism: Manis javanica (Malayan pangolin)
Lineage: Eukaryota; Metazoa; Chordata; Mammalia; Pholidota; Manidae
Source: RefSeq, a predicted model, not a curated record
UGCGGAGGGCUCGGCAGCUUGGAGAGAUCGGGGGCCCCCGGGCCGAGCGGGGUCGGGUAGGGCCCCACCCGUCGGGGCGCUAGGACGAACUGUGCCCGCCUCUCCGUACGCGGACACCGGCCCAGGGGAAGCGCGCCAGCCAAGGCCUCCCUCACCGAGUGAAACUGAAAGCAUCCGUAACACCAGGGGCAAAAGUAUAAACCCCAACGUGUGGCGCCUGCAGCGUGGGAACGCGACAUAAGGAACCACCUCUACAGGGAAGCAGAAGUGGGCCGCGCUGGUCCAGGACUGGGCAGUAGGCCGUGUUCACAGCUGCCCCGAA